UGGAAAAUUCCUAGCGCUUGACCCCCCUUGCAGUGAACAAGAAAAAGGGUGCCAGGUGCUAGGGACCAGGUACCUCUUCUUUUGGAAGUCAGAAGCCAGAAGUCGCCUGUGCUCUUAGCUUUCUGUCCCCAGCAGAGCUCCUGGAAAGGUAGUGUUGAACAAACACAACAAAACAGGAACCGGACUUUACACCACAUAAAUGUCCUCAAA
This is a long non-coding RNA of Erinaceus europaeus (western European hedgehog), 210 nucleotides long. RefSeq lists it as uncharacterized. Lineage: Eukaryota; Metazoa; Chordata; Mammalia; Eulipotyphla; Erinaceidae. The record is from RefSeq and is a predicted model, not a curated record. The transcript has 2 exons.